GUUUGACAUUACCUAUUCUCUCAAAUGUACCUGUGGACAUUUAUGACAAAAACACUUGGUGAAAACUUAGAUUUCUUCAUCUUUCAGGAACUCCUAAUACCCUGAGCAAGUGUGAUGCACAUCAGUGCACCAAGCUGAGGCGGUUCAUUAUCCAAGAGGAGUCUGAGCGAAGAAGGCAUCUGCUUAGAAGCUGCUGUGCUCAAAAUGAGGCUUUCUCCAACGCCGCUGUCAGGGGUCCCUGUGGCAGAGAUAGAUAAAUGCAUUAAAGUCUUCUGGAGAAGUAACCAGCUCUAUUUCCAUUUGUUGAGAUUCAAGGAGAUGUGGUGUUUCAACAUUAAUCGGUUGCUGGAGGGAAAGAAGUAGUAUAGACUUUAAUGUUUUAAUUUUAUUGUCCCAAUACUGAUAAUGUCAUAAUGAAGGUCAUUAAAAUGUGAAAAGGCAUAU
Molecule: long non-coding RNA, 444 nt
Filed under: Mus spicilegus (steppe mouse)
Lineage: Eukaryota; Metazoa; Chordata; Mammalia; Rodentia; Muridae
Description: lncRNA (ENSMSIG00000012648.1)
Source: RNAcentral